Non-coding RNA from Camellia sinensis, 1728 nucleotides. Lineage: Eukaryota; Viridiplantae; Streptophyta; Magnoliopsida; Ericales; Theaceae. The record is from RefSeq and is a predicted model, not a curated record.
UACUUGUCACAGCUGUUUUGCACUGUCCUUUGACUUUGCGUCAUCCCAGAGUAAUGUAACCUCCUUCAUUGCACACAUUUCACCACUUUCCCUAUAAUGGUGAGGACAAGGCGAGAUAUAAAAAACUCGAUCAGUGAACAAAAUUUGUGAGAGAAUGCAUUAGAAAAACUAUACAUGCAACAGUAAUCAAACACAUUGGAUGACAGAAAGCACACCACAUUAUGGCAAGGGAAUACAAUCUCUUCCAUCAUCAAUCUCUAAUUGAUCUACAUCAUCGCCAAUUGCCAUCUCUUCCUUGAGGCAUGGUCAUUUUGGCUCAUUACACAAUUCACAUUAAUCAAGUUGAUUGAGAUGCCACCAAAAACAUCUAAUACUGAAGAUGCAUCAUCAGUGCUUAGAAACUUCAUCCCAAAUUGUCACAAGGAGUAGUAGUCAUAUCAUGCAUGAAUAAAUUUUAUUUAUUUAUUAUUUAUUUUGUGUCAAAUAGCCAUCCAACUCAAAAAUUACAAAAGUUGCAGAGAGAUAGAAAGAGUUGAAAUUCUUAGGAUCCGUUUGAAUGGAUGUGGAUUUAAAAUGUGUGGAUUUAACAUUAUGUACCACAGACCUGGAUCAAAGUGGAUCUAAUUGGACAAAAAUUAAAAGGAUCCUCGUAGACUAUUUAACUGCAUAAAAUUUAAAGGUUCUAAUAUUGUUAAUUAACCCAGCAUUUUGGUCCGGCCUCAAAGUUGCGGUGCAAAAACUAGCAUUUUGGGACCUGCUACAAAUAUUGUUAACCCAAUCUGCAAAUAAGAAGCCAAGUAAGAGUGAAACCAACAAAAAGAAACUAGGCCAAAACAAAGAGUAGGCCAUUCCUUUUUUCUCUCUUUGUCAAUGCUUCAACUACUAAUGAAGGUACUUUGAUCUUAUACAGGUGCAUGCUUCAAUACAAAAGCAAAUGGGGAUAUGAUAUGAUAGGACAUAAAUUUAAUUAUUAAGGCAUGGCAGAAGUUGAUUGAAAUUAGAUUUUGAAUGAUCUGAUUUGUGGACUAAUAGUUUUGAGCAUUCUUUGGUGGUUUCUUCAUUUCAUUAACUAAAUCAUCUCUAGAUGUUCUUUUGAUUCAGUCAAAUCAAAUUACUUUAUCAUUAAUUGUUUGAGUGCUUGCUCUUGAUUAUUGUAUUAUUCUUUAUAGGUUGAAGGCCAAACAGAGGAAGUUAUUUUUGACCAUUUGCAUGCAACUGCUUUCCAGCACAUGCCUUUAGGCAGAACCAUUCUUGGUCCUCCUCAAAGUGUCAGGACAAUCACCAAAGAUCAUUUUCAAAAGUAUAUAUCGACACGCUAUACUACAUCCAGAAUGGUAAUUUUUGCUUCUGGAGUGUGAAGCAUGAGGACCUUGUUGAGCAAGUGAAGAAGUUGUUUACCAAAUUGUCAUCAGAUCCAACCACGACUUCUGAAUUAGUUGCCAAAGGGCCAGCAAUUUUUUCAGAAUUUUUUGUGUUAAAAUCCUUUGGUUUUUUAUUUCUCUUAUUUUUUCUUUUUUUCCUCGGAUCUGAUAGUGGGUGUUUUGGUUCACUUCUUAUUUUCUGUAUUAAAUGGGGGAGUGGUGAGAGAGAGAGGAGGGUAAUGUUAUUUUGUGGCUUUGUAUAUAAGGUAGUAAUUUUUUGUUUGAGAAUUGUGAAUUCAAUUUUUGGAUAUGUUAUUUUGUGGGAAAAUUAAUGCUAUAUUAAAUUGAAUGAGAAAGUGAAUUAAUG